UGAGGAAUAUUGGUCAAUGGGCGAGAGCCUGAGCCAGCCAAGUAGCGUGAAGGAUGACUGCCCUAUGGGUUGUAAACUUCUUUUAUAAAGGAAUAAAGUCGGGUAUGGAUACCCGUUUGCAUGUACUUUAUGAAUAAGGAUCGGCUAACUCCGUGCCAGCAGCCGCGGUAAUACGGAGGAUCCGAGCGUUAUCCGGAUUUAUUGGGUUUAAAGGGAGCGUAGAUGGAUGUUUAAGUCAGUUGUGAAAGUUUGCGGCUCAACCGUAAAAUUGCAGUUGAUACUGGAUAUCUUGAGUGCAGUUGAGGCAGGCGGAAUUCGUGGUGUAGCGGUGAAAUGCUUAGAUAUCACGAAGAACUCCGAUUGCGAAGGCAGCCUGCUAAGCUGCAACUGACAUUGAGGCUCGAAAGUGUGGGUAUCAAACAGGAUUAGAUACCCUGGUAGUCCACACGGUAAACGAUGAAUACUCGCUGUUUGCGAUAUACUGCAAGCGGCCAAGCGAAAGCGUUAAGUAUUCCACCUGGGGAGUACGCCGGCAACGGUGAAACUCAAAGGAAUUGACGGGGGCCCGCACAAGCGGAGGAACAUGUGGUUUAAUUCGAUGAUACGCGAGGAACCUUACCCGGGCUUAAAUUGCAGAUGAAUUACGGUGAAAGCCGUAAGCCGCAAGGCAUCUGUGAAGGUGCUGCAUGGUUGUCGUCAGCUCGUGCCGUGAGGUGUCGGCUUAAGUGCCAUAACGAGCGCAACCCUUGUUGUCAGUUACUAACAGGUUCCGCUGAGGACUCUGACAAGACUGCCAUCGUAAGAUGUGAGGAAGGUGGGGAUGACGCCAAAUCAGCACGGCCCUUACGUCCGGGGCUACACACGUGUUACAAUGGGGGGUACAGAGGGCCGCUACCACGCGAGUGGAUGCCAAUCCCCAAAACCUCUCUCAGUUCGGACUGGAGUCUGCAACCCGACUCCACGAAGCUGGAUUCGCUAGUAAUCGCGCAUCAGCCACGGCGCGGUGAAUACGUUCCC
RNAcentral lists this ribosomal RNA (1017 nucleotides) under uncultured bacterium. RNAcentral describes it as "bacterial SSU rRNA". It matches the Rfam family "Bacterial small subunit ribosomal RNA", at positions 355 to 1375 of the family's 1533-position model. The record is from RNAcentral.